RNAcentral lists this ribosomal RNA (548 nucleotides) under uncultured Bifidobacterium sp. RNAcentral describes it as "bacterial SSU rRNA". It matches the Rfam family "Bacterial small subunit ribosomal RNA", at positions 147 to 710 of the family's 1533-position model. Lineage: Bacteria; Bacillati; Actinomycetota; Actinomycetes; Bifidobacteriales; Bifidobacteriaceae. The record is from RNAcentral.
CUCCUGGAAACGGGUGGUAAUGCCGGAUGCUCCGCCCCCUCGCAUGGGGGGUCGGGAAGGCUUUUGCGGAAUGGGAUGGGGUCGCGUCCCAUCAGCUUGUUGGCGGGGCGACGGCCCACCAAGGCUUCGACGGGUAGCCGGCCCGAGAGGGCGACCGGCCACAUUGGGACUGAGAUACGGCCCAGACUCCUACGGGAGGCAGCAGUGGGGAAUAUUGCACAAUGGGGGGAACCCUGAUGCAGCGACGCCGCGUGCGGGAUGGAGGCCUUCGGGUCGUGAACCGCUUUUGAUUGGGAGCAAGCGUGAGUGAGUGUACCUUUCGAAUAAGCACCGGCUAACUACGUGCCAGCAGCCGCGGUAAUGCGUAGGGUGCAAGCGUUGUCCGGAAUCAUUGGGCGUAAAGGGCUCGUAGGCGGUUCGUCGCGUCCGGUGUGAAAGCCCAUCGCUUAACGGUGGGUCUGCGCCGGGUACGGGCGGGCUUGAGUGCGGCAGGGGAGGCUGGAAUUCCCGGUGUAACGGUGGAAUGUGUAGAUAUCGGGAAGAACACC